This 677-nucleotide ribosomal RNA is filed under the name Bradyrhizobium sp. 1.9-14. Its description in RNAcentral is "bacterial SSU rRNA". It matches the Rfam family "Bacterial small subunit ribosomal RNA", at positions 51 to 774 of the family's 1533-position model. Lineage: Bacteria; Pseudomonadati; Pseudomonadota; Alphaproteobacteria; Hyphomicrobiales; Nitrobacteraceae. The record is from RNAcentral.
ACACAUGCAAGUCGAACGGGCACUUCGGUGUCAGUGGCAGACGGGUGAGUAACGCGUGGGAACAUACCUCUUGGUUCGGAACAACACAGGGAAACUUGUGCUAAUACCGGAUAAGCCCUUACGGGGAAAGAUUUAUCGCCGAGAGAUUGGCCCGCGUCUGAUUAGCUAGUUGGUGUGGUAAAGGCGCACCAAGGCGACGAUCAGUAGCUGGUCUGAGAGGAUGAUCAGCCACAUUGGGACUGAGACACGGCCCAAACUCCUACGGGAGGCAGCAGUGGGGAAUAUUGGACAAUGGGCGCAAGCCUGAUCCAGCCAUGCCGCGUGAGUGAUGAAGGCCUUAGGGUUGUAAAGCUCUUUUGUACGGGAAGAUAAUGACGGUACCGUAAGAAUAAGCCCCGGCUAACUUCGUGCCAGCAGCCGCGGUAAUACGAAGGGGGCUAGCGUUGCUCGGAAUCACUGGGCGUAAAGGGUGCGUAGGCGGGUUUUUAAGUCAGAGGUGAAAUCCUGGAGCUCAACUCCAGAACUGCCUUUGAUACUGAAAGUCUUGAGUAUGGGAGAGGUGAGUGGAACUGCGAGUGUAGAGGUGAAAUUCGUAGAUAUUCGCAAGAACACCAGUGGCGAAGGCGGCUCACUGGCCCAUUACUGACGCUGAGGCACGAAAGCGUGGGGAGCAAACA